Molecule: microRNA precursor, 69 nt
Filed under: Bigelowiella natans CCMP2755
Lineage: Eukaryota; Cercozoa; Chlorarachniophyceae
Description: miRNA EPrBNAG00000013163
Source: RNAcentral
UGAUGGUAAUAAUGAUAAUAAUAAUGAUGAUGAUGAUAAUCAUCAUCAUCAUCAUCAUCAUCAUCCUAG